Plasmodiophora brassicae is the source of this 85-nucleotide transfer RNA. It matches the Rfam family "tRNA". From Rfam's summary of the family: Transfer RNA (tRNA) molecules are approximately 80 nucleotides in length. The record is from Rfam. Lineage: Eukaryota; Endomyxa; Phytomyxea; Plasmodiophorida; Plasmodiophoridae.
GCGAGGAUGCCCGAGUUGGUCUAAGGGGUCCGACUCAAGAUCGGAUAUUCUUCGGAAUGCGCGGGUUCAAAUCCCGUUCCUCGCA